UGGCCAUGGAGUGUUGGACUUCACAUGAUGAAAUGUCCAAAACACCCUUAAUGAGAAGGGGAGGCCUCAGAGUGUUUAAGAUCUUCAAGGCUCUAAAACCAUGGGUUCUUUUUGUGCUUUCGGGUGGGCAUCAAAGUCAAGCCCCAAGCAAACUUUCACAUACGGGAUUGUUCUAUGGUGUGCUCAAAUUGGCCCUUCCAUGUAUGUUCCCGUGCU
RNAcentral lists this long non-coding RNA (216 nucleotides) under Capsicum annuum. RNAcentral describes it as "long non-coding RNA (CANN_LNC015799)". The record is from RNAcentral. Lineage: Eukaryota; Viridiplantae; Streptophyta; Magnoliopsida; Solanales; Solanaceae.